GCGCGAGUACCGCCGAGUCGCCGCAAGGCGAGCCGGGGACCCAAUUGGGUAUUCCUGAACAGGGCCCCGGGGUGAAUCCGUGCUCACGCACGGUAGGGCGAUCUUCCCGCCCGAACCCGUCAGCUAACCCGGUAGGCGGUCAUCGGAAGAAAG
This 153-nucleotide small RNA is filed under the name Stackebrandtia nassauensis. RNAcentral's name for it is "c-di-AMP sequence". It matches the Rfam family "c-di-AMP riboswitch aptamer (ydaO/yuaA leader)". From Rfam's summary of the family: This family represents a conserved RNA structure found upstream of the ydaO and yuaA genes in Bacillus subtilis and related genes in other bacteria. The ydaO/yuaA element is thought to act as a genetic "off" switch for the ydaO and yuaA genes in its native state. The record is from RNAcentral. Lineage: Bacteria; Bacillati; Actinomycetota; Actinomycetes; Glycomycetales; Glycomycetaceae. RNAcentral also lists the same sequence under 1 other name.